CCUACGGGAGGCAGCAGUGAGGAAUAUUGGUCAAUGGGCUUACGCCUGAACCAGCCAAGUCGCGUGAGGGAAGACUGCCCUAUGGGUUGUAAACCUCUUUUGUCAGGGAGCAACGCCGGCUACGUGUAGCCGGACUGAGAGUACCUGAAGAAAAAGCACCGGCUAACUCCGUGCCAGCAGCCGCGGUAAUACGGAGGAUGCGAGCGUUAUCCGGAUUGAUUGGGUUUAAGGGGUGCGUAGGCGGAAUGCCAAGUCAGCGGUAAAAUCGCGGGGCUCAACCUCGCUCCGCCGUUGAAACUGGCGUUCUUGAGUGGGCGAGAGGUAUGCGGAAUGCGUGGUGUAGCGGUGAAAUGCAUAGAUAUCACGCAGAACUCCGAUUGCGAAGGCAGCAUACCGGCGCCCAACUGACGCUGAAGCACGAAAGCGUGGGUAUCGAACAGGAUUAGAUACCCUGGUAGUC
RNAcentral lists this ribosomal RNA (460 nucleotides) under uncultured bacterium. RNAcentral describes it as "partial 16S ribosomal RNA". It matches the Rfam family "Bacterial small subunit ribosomal RNA", at positions 338 to 795 of the family's 1533-position model. The record is from RNAcentral.